GACGAACGCUGGCGGCGUGCUUAACACAUGCAAGUCGAACGGAAAGGCCCUGCUUUUGUGGGGUGCUCGAGUGGCGAACGGGUGAGUAACACGUGAGUAACCUGCCCUUGACUUUGGGAUAACUUCAGGAAACUGGGGCUAAUACCGGAUAGGAGCUCCUGCUGCAUGGUGGGGGUUGGAAAGUUUCGGCGGUUGGGGAUGGACUCGCGGCUUAUCAGCUUGUUGGUGGGGUAGUGGCUUACCAAGGCUUUGACGGGUAGCCGGCCUGAGAGGGUGACCGGCCACAUUGGGACUGAGAUACGGCCCAGACGCCUACGGGAGGCAGCAGUGGGGAAUAGUGCACAAUGGGCGGAAGCCUGAUGCAGCAACGCCGCGUGCGGGAUGACGGCCUUCGGGUUGUAAACCGCUUUCGCCUGUGACGAAGCGUGAGUGACGGUAAUGGGUAAAGAAGCACCGGCUAACUACGUG
RNAcentral lists this ribosomal RNA (468 nucleotides) under uncultured bacterium. Its description in RNAcentral is "partial 16S ribosomal RNA". It matches the Rfam family "Bacterial small subunit ribosomal RNA", at positions 28 to 507 of the family's 1533-position model. The record is from RNAcentral.